AUUGAACGCUGGCGGCAUGCCUUACACAUGCAAGUCGAACGGCAGCACGGGAGCAAUCCUGGUGGCGAGUGGCGAACGGGUGAGUAAUGUAUCGGAACGUGCCUAGUCGUGGGGGAUAACGUAGCGAAAGCUACGCUAAUACCGCAUACGAUCUGUGGAUGAAAGCGGGGGACCUUCGGGCCUCGCGCGAUUAGAGCGGCCGAUAUCAGAUUAGGUAGUUGGUGGGGUAAAGGCCCACCAAGCCGACGAUCUGUAGCUGGUCUGAGAGGACGACCAGCCACACUGGGACUGAGACACGGCCCAGACUCCUACGGGAGGCAGCAGUGGGGAAUUUUGGACAAUGGGCGCAAGCCUGAUCCAGCAAUGCCGCGUGCAGGAUGAAGGCCUUCGGGUUGUAAACUGCUUUUGUACGGAGCGAAAAGGCUCUCUCUAAUAAAGGGGGCCCAGUGACGGUACCGUAAGAAUAAGCACCGGCUAACUACGUAGCCAGCA
RNAcentral lists this ribosomal RNA (492 nucleotides) under uncultured bacterium. Its description in RNAcentral is "bacterial SSU rRNA". It matches the Rfam family "Bacterial small subunit ribosomal RNA", at positions 30 to 513 of the family's 1533-position model. The record is from RNAcentral.